GACGAACGCUGGCGGCGUGCUUAACACAUGCAAGUCGAACGGAAGGGCCCUGCUUUUGUGGGGUGCUCGAGUGGCGAACGGGUGAGUAACACGUGAGUAACCUGGCCUUGACUUUGGGAUAACUUCAGGAAACUGGGGCUACUACCGGAUAGGAGCUCCUGCUGCAUGGUGGGGGUUGGAAAGUUUCGGCGGUUGGGGAUGGACUCGCGGCUAAUCAGCUUGUUGGUUGGGGAGUUGCUUACCCAGGCUUUGACGGAUAGUCGGCCUGAGAGGGGGACCGGGCACAAUGGGACUGAGAUACGGCGCAGACUCCUACGGGAGGCAGCAGUGGGGAAUAUUGCACAAUGGGCGGAAGCCUGAUGCAGAGACGCCGCGUGCGGGAUGACGGCCUUCGGGUUGUAAACCGCUUUCGCCUGUGACGAAGCGUGAGUGACGGUAAUGGGUAAAGAAGCACCGGCUAACUACGUG
This 468-nucleotide ribosomal RNA is filed under the name uncultured bacterium. Its description in RNAcentral is "partial 16S ribosomal RNA". It matches the Rfam family "Bacterial small subunit ribosomal RNA", at positions 28 to 507 of the family's 1533-position model. The record is from RNAcentral.